RNAcentral lists this long non-coding RNA (1267 nucleotides) under Callithrix jacchus (white-tufted-ear marmoset). RNAcentral's name for it is "lncRNA (ENSCJAG00000082803.1)". Lineage: Eukaryota; Metazoa; Chordata; Mammalia; Primates; Cebidae. The record is from RNAcentral.
UAUAAUGACCGCGGACUCAGGGGAGCCCGCACUUGAGCGAGGACCGACUUCUCAAGCGGGUCCACGCUGCUCAUGCUCGUGUCCACGGGUGGCGCGCUGUGACCGGGUGGGGGGCGAGCUGCGAGAAAUAGGAGGGGACAGGACCCCCAGAAUCCCUCCAUAGACACACACACAAUCAAGAGUAGGAGUUAGGAUCUUGAGAGGUAGAACUACCCCAGGCAGGGUUUCUCCAGCUGGGCCUUUGGACCCCGCGCGCGCCCAAGGGCGUGCCCGCCGCGGAAGCACGGAUUAUCUUCCCUGGACUGGGUCUCCGGGAGCGUGCGUUGCUCCCUUUUUCCUAGCGGCCCCUUCGCUGGCUGCCGCGAGGGGGGCGAUGUUCAUUAACUUGGAUACCCAACGCGGUUGAAAUAGGAGGAAAAAACACAUUUGAUCUGGGCCGACCCUUUGUCUUGAAGCAGAUUAGGCAGCCUAGAAAUAGGAGAAAAAAACAGAAAGUCUAGACAGGAAAACUUAUUGUGUUCACAAAAUAUAAAAAUGAUCCGAGCGGUCUGGUACCUCAAGGGGUGAAGAUAGAUCCUUGUAGACGAGUGCGAAGACUUGACUGGGAAGAUUUAAAGUGAAAGAAACGGCAGAUUAUUAAGAAAGUAAUAGUAAGGUGUCCCAUACACUACAGUUUUAUUGUUGGGUAGUAACUACCCGAUUUAUUUAUUGCCAGGGCUAUAUAAUAGAGAUAAUGACCGCAAACUCAAGAUAAAUUCUUAGGCGCCCAGCCGGUCAAUUCUUUUUUAUUUAAGAGAGUGAGCCUGAAAGGUGAGCCUCAUCCCCUCCCCUUCUUGAAAAUCCGUCUUGCUUUCUACCAUAUUAUAAGCAUGACAUGUAAAUAAAUAAGUGCUGCUGGGUCUGUGUGGGUAGGCCGGCAGGAUUUAUUUCAGGUGAGGGAGGAACAUACACUGAAUAUGAAUUUCCGCAGGAGCGGCGCCGUGAUUCCUUCUCUCUCCCUCUCGGCAGCCCUCUCCUCAGGGUCCCCCUCCUUUUCUGUGGGAGCAGAGAGCGUCCCUUGUUAAAAACAUUAAAGUGUCAUGUCUCAACUCCCUAUUCCUUGACAUAUAGGUCUGGGGAGGGAUGGGGGCACUGCAAAAUGCAAAACGCAUCCCCAAAGUUGGGUGACUUGCUGGGACUGCUGAAAGCGAUUCUGGCGGACAAAGAGACGGUCUGUUUUGAAAUUCAAAGUGUAAAAUGGGGAUAUGGAGGAAUGGGCAAGACUUGA